AGAGUUUGAUCAUGGCUCAGGAUGAACGCUAGCGGCAGGCUUAACACAUGCAAGUCGAGGGGUAACAGGGAUUGCUUGCAAUCCGCUGACGACCGGCGCACGGGUGCGUAACGCGCAUGCAACCUACCUUCUACAGGGGGAUAGUCAAUAGAAAUGUUGAAUAAUACCCCAUACGAUCAUUAAUCUGCAUGGAUUGAUGAAGAAAGUUCCGGCGGUAGAAGAUGGGCAUGCGUCCUAUUAGUUAGUUGGUAAGGUAACGGCUUACCAAGACAUCGAUAGGUAGGGGUCCUGAGAGGGAGAUCCCCCACACUGGUACUGAGACACGGACCAGACUCCUACGGGAGGCGGCAGUGAGGAAUAUUGGACAAUGGAGGCAACUCUGAUCCAGCCAUGCCGCGUGCAGGAAGACUGCCCUAUGGGUUGUAAACUGCUUUUAUACAGGAAGAAUAGUACCUACGUGUAGGUAUUUGACGGUACUGUACGAAUAAGGAUCGGCUAACUCCGUGCCAGCAGCCGCGGUAAU
This 523-nucleotide ribosomal RNA is filed under the name uncultured bacterium. Its description in RNAcentral is "bacterial SSU rRNA". It matches the Rfam family "Bacterial small subunit ribosomal RNA", at positions 8 to 524 of the family's 1533-position model. The record is from RNAcentral.